This 3428-nucleotide long non-coding RNA is filed under the name Betta splendens (Siamese fighting fish). Its description in RNAcentral is "lncRNA (ENSBSLG00000003222.1)". The record is from RNAcentral. Lineage: Eukaryota; Metazoa; Chordata; Actinopteri; Anabantiformes; Osphronemidae.
CCUCCAUAGUGACAGUCAUACGUCUCGUCAAUGACGCUGUUGAUAAUAUUGAGAGUGAAGGUAUGAAAGACUGUCUCCUGUUAACUCCCCUGACUCCCCUUCAUCUGCCAACGUGUUUAUUCAGUAGCUCCAACAUAUAAUGUGAAAAGCUUUUGCUGCUCAGUCCUUCUUCUUAUUCGGGAGUAAAAGAAAAUCCUUAGGUUUUCAAUACGUUGUCAGUUUCUGAAGCUGGAUCUCUGUGUUUUUUUUCCUCCCUCUUUUGGUCUCUGUGUUGUUUGUCUCAGUCUUUCUUUGACUUCGGCUUUCUCUCUCCCUUUGUAGUGUCAACCAUGGACAACGAACAGCGGCAGAACCGCUCUGCGUUCCGCUGGGAGUCUUCUUGUCAGACGUCGAGCUGGUUGUCACCAUCACAUCUACGUGCACCUGAGGCGGGCUCCCAUUAUGACCUCAGGGACACGGAGCAGAACAUCAGACGGGGCGGCAGCACGCGCUCCCUCCAGCUGGACUACAGAGUACUGGGCUCUAGCAGCGACAGGGCUCGAGAGCGGGCGCAGGAGACCACUGCAAAGAGGACUUUCCAGUGGGAGAGGAAUCAGUCAGGCGAGUGGGUGAGGAAGAGGAUCCUUGACAGGGAGGGAGCGAUCGGCGAGGAGAAGAACACAAGGAACAGGAGCAGGGAUGUGGGGGGGUGCCAGGACCGCCGAGGCCUUCAGGAGCUGCACAGCCAGGACAGCGACGAAGACAGCUCCUCGCCUGUUUACGAGGAAUACCGGGAGUGCAGCCAGAACCCAGAACAAGCUGAUGACGCAGAGGGCCUCUAUGACACUCUACCGCCCACCCGGCGGGCCUACGAAGGCUAUCCGUCCAGCCCCCCCGGCCUUAACCUUCACCCAGCCCAGCUCCUGCCCCCUCUCAGGGCGUGGGACCUGCAGCCAGGCGAGUGGAGGGGCUCGCAGGAGGACGGGGGAGGGCUCGGCUCCGGCACUCUGACAGGAUCUGGGGACGAACUGGAGAGACUGCUGAACCUGGUGUCUCUGAGAGCCAGGAGAGCUACGCGGAUAAACAGAGCCUCCACUGGGUCUGAACCCACAGCAGGCUGGGAUGGAUUUAAAUAGGCACUGUAGUAUGCUUAAAAUGAAGAACUUUAAUACUCUUUCUAUAUUAAAGAGAAGCAGUAACCCCCUCUGAUUAUUAUUGAGAUAUAUUAUACUAUGCGGUUGGUCCAACACCUAAAAUAAUUAAAUGAAUAUAUUACCAUGUAUAUUUUAAUUUCUCCACAUCAUUCUCCUGCUGUAGGCCAACACUGCUUCCCCACAUCAUUUAUAAGAUAGAGGAAUACGAGCAUCCUCUAGAUGCCAUCACAUGUACAUGAGAAUCUCUGCUCAUUUAUUUUUUAUAGAAUCACUGAAACAGUGUUUAUGACCAUCAAUAUGAAAGAGCCUGUCUGUCUCUGUCUUACUGUAGAUGAUAAUAUUUUGUAUGUGUGUUAGUAUAUUGUCGUUUGGGAACCCACACACACACACACACACACACACACACACACACACACACACACACACACACACACACACACACACACACACGCACACACAGCCCUCUUGGAAGCUCAGCUAUGUAACGCUUCUCUUAUUUUUACUGACACAUGCUGGGGGUUGUUGUUUUGGAGAGAACUGUUCGCCCACGUCCCUGACACAGCCUCAGAGAUGCUAUUAAGAUUGCCAGGCGUUAAUACCAGGGGAUCUUUAAUCACCUAAUUACUAUUUAUAUAUUUUUUUUACUUGCACCAUUCAUUUGUUUGUUUGCUCUUAUUAAACACAUGCACCAAGGGCACGAGGCUCAUGUAAGUAUGAGUAAAAACAGCACUUUAGGUAAUGUUACAUAUUUAUUAUCUGAGCUCAACACCAACUUUGACCUGUCAUUUCAACAAAGAAGGUUUGUAGCUGUAUGCAGAUUCAGCAACAAUACAAAUCCUAGUAUUCCAGUGUACAUUGUGUAUGUUUGUAUGUAUGUAUGUAUGUAUGUGUUAGCGGUUUAGCUGAGCUCCAGAUAAAAACCUAGCCAAUUUAAAUGUGAUAUAAAUAUGUAAUUUGCCUUCAGAGUUGAUGCAGCCACUCUGCAGAACCAACGUGUUUACACACUGUCGCUUCGCUGAUGACACAGCGUCAAUAGUGGGUCCGUGUUCCCAGCUUCCUCACAACAAAGGGAAUGUAAAUGGAUUUAAGCAGCGUGUUCGACAACCUCGAAACACCGGCAGAACAAACAGGUGGUGGUUAACUUGGGGUAUUAGCGAUUAACUUAUUCAUAAUGACAGUUCAGGACUGUGGAUUGGGAACGAGCCCGACCAGAUGUCUACCGUCGGAAUUUCACACUGUAAUGGAAACAGCUGUGCGAGUCUGCCUCUGUCUCACACCAAUCAUAAAUCCUCUGGUAAACAUGACUCCUGGUGUAUGGUUUGAAACGGUGUGGGGGGGGGUUCACGUGACAAAACACUCUCCUUGUGGCAAAGAGAAUGAACACCCAAACAAGUGCAUAGACUGAAGUUUGCUACGGACUUCUGAGAGUGAGUGUAGACACGACGAGGAGUAAAUACAAAUCAUCCACAUCACAGCCUGUGCUGUGCGUGCGUUUUAACGCAACUGCGCAAGGGCCUUUUAUGAAAGACAGCACUUAAGACAGAAAGUGGAAGGCGCGUGGUUAGUAGAUUUAAAUGGAGCCCUGUGAAUUCUAGCAAAAAUUCCAUUAAAGUUUUUUUUUUGUUUGAAAAGCCUUUUGUUAAGCGUCUGCAAACUCUUCUUGCUCCAACAAAAGUAAAUGGACUGAACUGUUUGCAAGACGUUUUUUCAACGGGGGAGUAUUAUACUGAUGGUACAUACAGUAUUGUACAGUAAAUGAACUUCUUCUGAAAGUACGACUAAAGGGUGAAAAACACAGAUACAUGCAUGUAUCACAAAUGUCUCAGAGGACGGUGUCCGUGUUUUUACCCCCAUUCAGCUUCAUUCAUUGCACCGCUGAAGCACAUUGCACCUCACACUCAUGCAGGUCAGGCUAACACAUGGACCAACAUUCACACCUUUGGCUACUUUACAGCUUCCAAGCGACUCAGUCUGUACAUCUGGGGACUGAGGCAGUUAAAGUCUGGCACCUGUGGGAAACUGGCACCAACGGAGAACACAAAUUAUCAGGGUGAAUUUUUAAAUUCCCAUUAUGUAGAAGCUCAACCCUAAAUCCUAAAUAAGAAUGCAAUUGAAGCAGCAGGUGAGACUUGAGCAUAUGUUGGACUGGGUGUGCGCUCGCAGGUGAGCUAUAUCUCAGCGUAGACUACAUGAAUACCCAUAAAUAUUUAAUCCUCUCACACCAGUCUUGUCACACCUCUUGUUUUGCCUGCCUUCCCAAAUAAAAUCUGGCAGAUUGAUUUAGUAGAGCUUAAA